Molecule: small nuclear RNA, 99 nt
Organism: Apus apus (common swift)
Lineage: Eukaryota; Metazoa; Chordata; Aves; Apodiformes; Apodidae
Source: RefSeq, a predicted model, not a curated record
GACAGCACUGUCACUUCAGUCACGUCUGGAACAAUGCAGAGAUUAGCAUGGCCCCUGUGCGAGGAUGACACACGAAUUUGUGAAGCAUUCCAUGUUUUU